Molecule: ribosomal RNA, 274 nt
Filed under: uncultured bacterium
Lineage: Bacteria
Description: partial 16S ribosomal RNA
Rfam family: Bacterial small subunit ribosomal RNA
Source: RNAcentral
AUACAGAGGGUGCGAGCGUUAAUCGGAAUUACUGGGCGUAAAGCGCGCGUAGGCGGCUUAUUAAGUCAGAUGUGAAAUCCCCGGGCUCAACCUGGGAACUCCAUCUGAUACUGGUAAGCUAGAGUUUUGGAGAGGGAAGUAGAAUUUCAGGUGUAGCGGUGAAAUGCAUAGAGAUCUGAAGGAAUACCAGUGGCGAAGGCGACUUCCUGGCCAAAAACUGACGCUGAGGUGCGAAAGCGUGGGUAGCAAACGGGAUUAGAUACCCUAGUAGUCC